This 228-nucleotide ribosomal RNA is filed under the name uncultured bacterium. RNAcentral's name for it is "partial 16S ribosomal RNA". It matches the Rfam family "Bacterial small subunit ribosomal RNA", at positions 111 to 334 of the family's 1533-position model. The record is from RNAcentral.
UAACGCGUAGGUAACCUGCCUUGUAGCGGGGGAUAACUAUUGGAAACGAUAGCUAAUACCGCAUAACAAUGGGUGACUCAUGUCAUUUAUUUGAAAGGGGCAAAUGCUCCACUACAAGAUGGACCUGCGUUGUAUUAGCUAGUAGGUGAGGUAACGGCUCACCUAGGCGACGAUACAUAGCCGACCUGAGAGGGUGAUCGGCCAUACUGGGACUGAGACACGGCCCAG